Bos taurus (domestic cattle) is the source of this 702-nucleotide long non-coding RNA. The record is from Ensembl. Lineage: Eukaryota; Metazoa; Chordata; Mammalia; Artiodactyla; Bovidae.
CGCGUGGGUGGGCAGUGGGGUCUCAAUUUACAGGAAAUACCAUCUUCCCAGGAGAGCUUUCCCACCUCUUGUUCCUCCCAUCCCUUAGGCCGUCCCCCCAACCCCCAGCCUCUCUUACAGACAGGCAGGAAAUUGGAAACAGCUCUUCCGGAGGACCAGAGUCCUCUAGGUGACCCAAAGAGAAUGCCUUCCUUCUUCUGGGGCCUCAGUUUCCUCAUCUGUACGAUGGGAGUAUACCACUCACAGUUAUGCUUCAGCUUACCAAUAAGUCUCCAGCAAGUCAAGGUUGAAUCCCUGGUCAGGAGAGAUGCCACAUGCCUCGUGGCAACUAAGCCUGUGAGGCCCUGCUCUGCAAUAAGAGAAGCCACCACCAUCAGAAGCCCGCACACUGCAGCUGGAGGGUAGACCCCUGCUCGCUGCAACUGGACAAAGCUCAGGAGCAACAGCAAAUACCCAGCACGGCCAAAAAUAAAAAAAAAAAAAGAAGAAGAAGAAAUUAAUGGGAAAAAAAAAAUCAGGGAAACCUGGCGUGCUGCAAUCCAUGGGAUCAUCAAGAGUCAGACACGAUUUAGCACCUGAACAAAAACAAGGAAAACAAUAGCCGCUCCCAGCUCAUCGGGUUGUUUAAGGAUUAAAUGAGACAAGGCAUGAAAGAACCUAACAGAGAGCCUGAUCCUAUGCUCAAUAAAUUCUAAAAACAUU